Molecule: ribosomal RNA, 1257 nt
Filed under: Triticum aestivum (bread wheat)
Lineage: Eukaryota; Viridiplantae; Streptophyta; Magnoliopsida; Poales; Poaceae
Description: partial small subunit ribosomal RNA
Source: RNAcentral
AUGUUGAUCAAACGGAGCAUCUUCGCUUCCUGCCACCUUGACGCUUUUCGCCCGUUCAUCAUAGUGCUGUUGGCGGCUGCGUACAUGUAUGUGCCAGCUACUGCUAUUGUUGCUGUUCCAAGUUCUCAUUGUUAUACCUUCGACAGUGAUAGCCACCUUGUUGACUUCACACACCUGGCUGGGAAGAAUUUUGAAUACAAUGAGGAGGGCUCAGUAACUUCUGACUUGGUUGUCCAGUUGUGCAAAGAUGUGCAGAGAAGGUCUCAGGCGGGUGGUUUCAUUGACUUUGGCCGCUUUACCAAUCAUCGCUCUUUUGAGACCGGUUCAAAGCCGAUUGACUACAUCCAGAGAUUUCACAAUGGUGAUUUAGCGAAAUGUGAAACUACGUUUGAAGAGAUGGGCCGUACUGCACAGGUCAACAUUAUGUGUGGACGAUGCUCAAAUAAAGUAUGCAAAGAUGAACAUGGAUGCAUUUGCAGCGUAUCCUAUGAUGAAAGGAUGUGCAGGACGGUUGUUGAGCUAGCCAUUCCUUGUCCUAAAAGAGGUCCAAGAGUUUUUAAGGGUUUCACUGUGGGCUUCCACCCCCGGUCAGCAGAAGUGGUUUACAAUGGAUUGACUCAACUGGGAUUCGAACAACUUCAUCAUGGGUUUAGCUUUCCAAGUGAGCAGAUUCACGUGUCUUUAUAUCUUAGCGCCAUGUCUUCUCUCGCAGACCUAGUUGGAAAACCUACCUUCAGGGUUAAUCCGAUGAAAGGGCUUGAUGUUAUGCUUACAGGAUCAGGGGCCAAUGGUGCCGUGCCUACUGCCCUGUCUCCAACAGUUCUGAAUGUGAAUUGGAUAUGCGAAAUCAUUCGAAGCAAUCCAUAUGUGGUGAAUGUUUCAAUCCCAGUGGUGGGCUAUGAUCCAAUUGAAUUCACGCUUACCAAAGAAUGUGGUUACACACAAGAAAGAGAGAGUGAUUCUAUGAGAGGGUGGGCAACAUUUGGAAUUAUUUCUUGCAUAUUCAUUGUCUUUUCGAGCCUACUUUGUUGUGGGGGAUUCAUCUACAAAAGCCGUGUGGAGCAUCAGGAUGGCUUACAUGCACUGCCUGGGAUGACUACCGUGUCUGCCUUUCUUGAUGUUGUUGGAAGACCAAGAGGCUACUUGAGAGCAGGUGAUCCUAGUGGAAAUCAUUCAAGCCAAGCAUCGUGGGAGAACACUUCUGUUACCACACCAGCAGCACAGAGAACAAAUGAUGGAAGAUAUGGGACAAUAUGA